UACGUAGGGGGCGAGCGUUGUCCGGAAUUAUUGGGCGUAAAGAGCUCGUAGGCGGCUUGGCAAGUCGGAUGUGAAAACUCCAGGCUCAACCUGGAGCCGCCAUUCGAUACUGCUAUGGCUAGAGUCCGGUAGGGGAGUGUGGAAUUCCCGGUGUAGCGGUGAAAUGCGCAGAUAUCAGGAGGAACACCGGUGGCGAAGGCGGGUCUCUGGGCAUUACCUGACGCUGAGGAGCGAAAGCAUGGGGAGCGAACAGG
This 254-nucleotide ribosomal RNA is filed under the name uncultured bacterium. Its description in RNAcentral is "partial 16S ribosomal RNA". It matches the Rfam family "Bacterial small subunit ribosomal RNA", at positions 524 to 776 of the family's 1533-position model. The record is from RNAcentral.